This 21-nucleotide non-coding RNA is filed under the name Caenorhabditis elegans. Lineage: Eukaryota; Metazoa; Nematoda; Chromadorea; Rhabditida; Rhabditidae. The record is from RNAcentral.
UUAAUAGGAUUCGCAAUAUUG